GGCGGACGGGUGAGUAAUGUCUGGGAAACUGCCUGAUGGAGGGGGGAUAACUACUGGAAACGGUAGCUAAUACCGCAUAACGUCGCAAGACCAAAGAGGGGGACCCUCGGGCCUCUUGCCAUCGGAUGUGCCCAGAUGGGAUUAGCUAGUAGGUGGGGGUAACGGGCUCACCUAGGCGACGAUCCCUAGCUGGUCUGAGAGGAUGACCAGCCACACUGGAACUGAGACACGGUCCAGACUCCUACGGGAGGCAGCAUG
This 258-nucleotide ribosomal RNA is filed under the name uncultured bacterium. RNAcentral describes it as "partial 16S ribosomal RNA". It matches the Rfam family "Bacterial small subunit ribosomal RNA", at positions 97 to 353 of the family's 1533-position model. The record is from RNAcentral.